Molecule: ribosomal RNA, 447 nt
Filed under: uncultured bacterium
Lineage: Bacteria
Description: bacterial SSU rRNA
Rfam family: Bacterial small subunit ribosomal RNA
Source: RNAcentral
UUCCAGACUCCUACGGGAGGCAGCAGUGGGGAAUAUUGCACAAUGGGGGAAACCCUGAUGCAGCGACGCCGCGUGAGUGAAGAAGUAUUUCGGUAUGUAGAGCUCUAUCAGCAGGGAAGAAAAUGACGGCACCUGAUUAAGAAGCCCCGGCUAAUUACGUGCCAGCAGCCGCGGUAAUACGUAGGGGGCAAGCGUUAUCCGGAUUUACUGGGUGUAAAGGGAGCGUAGACGGCGACGCAAGUCUGAAGUGAAAUGCCAGUGCUCAACACUGGAACUGCUUUGGAAACUGUGUGGCUAGAGUGCAGGAGAGGUAAGUGGAAUUCCUAGUGUAGCGGUGAAAUGCGUAGAUAUUAGGAGGAACACCAGUGGCGAAGGCGGCUUACUGGACUGUAACUGACGUUGAGGCUCGAAGGCGUGGGGAGCAACCAGGAUUAGAUACCCCGGUAC